CAAUAGCGUAUAUUAAAGUUGUUGCAGUUAGAACGCUCGUAGUCGGAUUUCGGGGCGGGCCGACCGGUCUGCCGAUGGGUAUGCACUGGUCGGCGCGUCCUUCCUUCCGGAGACCGUCCCUACUCUUAACUGAGCGGGGGCGGGAGACGGGACUUUUACUUUGAAAAAAUCAGAGUGUUUCAAGCAGGCAGCUCGCUCUUGCAUGGAUUAGCAUGGGAUAAUGAAAUAGGACUUUGGUGCUAUUUUGUUGGUUUCGAACACCGAAGUAAUGAUUAACAGGGACAGUCAGGGGCACUCGUAUUCCGCCGAGAGAGGUGAAAUUCUCAGACCAGCGGAAGACGAACCACUGCGAAAGCAUUUGCCAGGGAUGUUUUCACUG
RNAcentral lists this ribosomal RNA (379 nucleotides) under uncultured eukaryote. Its description in RNAcentral is "partial 18S ribosomal RNA". It matches the Rfam family "Eukaryotic small subunit ribosomal RNA", at positions 592 to 975 of the family's 1831-position model. The record is from RNAcentral.